CCUACGGGUGGCAGCAGUGGGGAAUAUUGGACAAUGGGCGAAAGCCUGAUCCAGCAAUGCCGCGUGUGUGAAGAAGGCCUUCGGGUUGUAAAGCACUUUCAGUGGGGAAGAAAGCCUUGGGGCUAAUACCCUCGAGGAAGGACAUCACCCACAGAAGAAGCACCGGCUAACUCCGUGCCAGCAGCCGCGGUAAUACGUAGGGUGCGAGCGUUAAUCGGAAUUACUGGGCGUAAAGCGCGCGUAGGCGGUCUGAUAAGCCGGUUGUGAAAGCCCCGGGCUCAACCUGGGAACGGCAUCCGGAACUGUCAGGCUAGAGUACAGGAGAGGAAGGUAGAAUUCCCGGUGUAGCGGUGAAAUGCGUAGAGAUCGGGAGGAAUACCAGUGGCGAAGGCGGCCUUCUGGACUGACACUGACGCUGAGGUGCGAAAGCGUGGGUAGCAAACAGGAUUAGAUACCCCAGUAGUC
This 465-nucleotide ribosomal RNA is filed under the name Vreelandella stevensii. Its description in RNAcentral is "partial 16S ribosomal RNA". It matches the Rfam family "Bacterial small subunit ribosomal RNA", at positions 338 to 795 of the family's 1533-position model. The record is from RNAcentral. Lineage: Bacteria; Pseudomonadati; Pseudomonadota; Gammaproteobacteria; Oceanospirillales; Halomonadaceae.